RNAcentral lists this unclassified non-coding RNA (1248 nucleotides) under Megachile rotundata (alfalfa leafcutting bee). RNAcentral describes it as "uncharacterized LOC105664069, transcript variant X2". Lineage: Eukaryota; Metazoa; Arthropoda; Insecta; Hymenoptera; Megachilidae. The record is from RNAcentral.
AUUAAUGUUUUCGACUGAAAUAAUGUAUAUAGUAAUCAAUAGUAAUUUUAAGUCAAACCUAAGCUGAUUUAAGUGUUUGUUUAAUUUAAAAUUGUUUGAUAUUAAUAGGAGUUAUAAACAUAAAAGUAUAUAUAUGAAUACAUAAAUGUGCAAUACAAAACUAAUAAUUGAUAUAAGUGAUAAAAUAUUAAACAAUUAAAGAAAACAGGAAUUUCGUAUCUACUAAAAAAUCAGAUAGCUUUUUUCGAAUAUUGUAAGCCUAUGAUUGAAUCGUCAGAUAAAAUUAUUAGAUAACAAAUAAUACGUGCAUGUAUAGAUGCUGGUAAUGUGUUUUACGUUUAAUCGAAUAUUGUGUGAAGUGAGUAUUUCAUACUUUACAAAUAUUCUUCAUUAAUUAAUAAAGCGUAGAUUAAAAUGUUGACACCAGAAACAUACCAAUUAACUCAUCCAGAAUCACUGACAGAUGCUGAACUUAAGGAAAUUUUAGAAAAUAGGUGCAUAGAUUUUAGUAAUUAUAAAAAUUUAACCAGAUGUGGGUUAAUAGAACUAUAUAAACGUGUGGCAAUGCCAUUGCCUCAAAGACAAAAUGAAAAUAACCAUAGUGCAAGUACAAACAAGGAUAAUAAGGAAACAAAUUCAGUUAAUGAAUCUCACCAAAAUUUAACUCUUUUGAAUGGUACAAAUAAUACAAAAAUAAAUAUAAAUGAAGUCACAAAAUCAUCUCAAACAUCUCAUAUGAAGUUGACAACUCCUGAAAAUGAGUUAAAGUGUUCAACAAAGAAAAUAUGCUUGUAUAAUUCAAAUACUGUGACUAAGUGCAACGGUGUUGAUAAACGUAAUGGCGAUGACAAAUUGGAUGGAGCUCCAUCUAAGAAAAGACAGAAAAUUACAUGGCCGUAAUGAUAUGUAUCGCCCUAUGAAAGAUUUGGAAACAUAAAUGACAGUGUCAUGUUGCAAAUUUAUUAUUUCUAGCAAAGUUGUUUUAAAGGUGUCUAAGUGGAGUUUUCAUAUGUAUUCUAUUUUUACAGUUAAUAUAUAAUUUCUACAUAACUAUGAACUGUCACUGUUAUUUGUGGUAAUAAUAACAGAGGCUGUUUCUUGACCACGGUAUCCAACGAAUUGUCUCAAGUUGGCCGAGUGGUCAGUGGAUCGCUAGUUCUCUCCUAACAAGGAGACGGAGCACAGGCGGGUUUAGGACAAAACUCACGAAAAGUUGAUGAAAUAAAGAAUACUCAGUUGACACGUUUA